RNAcentral lists this ribosomal RNA (484 nucleotides) under uncultured bacterium. RNAcentral describes it as "partial 16S ribosomal RNA". It matches the Rfam family "Bacterial small subunit ribosomal RNA", at positions 30 to 507 of the family's 1533-position model. The record is from RNAcentral.
AUUGAACGCUGGCGGCAGGCCUAACACAUGCCAGUCGAGCGGAUGAAGGGAGCUUGCUCCUGGAUUCAGCGGCGGACGGGUGUGUAAUUCCUAGGAAUCUGCCUGGUAGUGGGGGAUAACGUCCGGAAACGGGCGCUAAUACCGCAUACGUCCUGAGGGAGAAAGUGGGGGAUCUUCGGACCUCACGCUAUCAUAUGAGCCUAGGUCGGAUUAGCUAGUUGGUGGGGUAAAGGCCUACCAAGGCGACGAUCCGUAACUGGUCUGAGAGGAUGAUCAGUCACACUGGAACGGAGACAAGGUCCAGAAUCCUACGGGAGGCAGCAGUGGGGAAUAUUGGACAAUGGGCGAAAGCCUGAUCCAGCAAGGCCGCGUGUGAGAAGAAGGUCUUCGGAGUGGAAAGCACUUUAAGUUGGGAGGAAGGGAAGUAAGUUAAUACAUAGCUGUAUUGACGGUACCAACAGAAUAAGCACCGGCUAACUACGUG